Molecule: long non-coding RNA, 349 nt
Filed under: Brassica napus (rape)
Lineage: Eukaryota; Viridiplantae; Streptophyta; Magnoliopsida; Brassicales; Brassicaceae
Description: long non-coding RNA (BNAP_LNC019116)
Source: RNAcentral
UGGUAUUAUACAUAAUCAUUACUUUUUAUUUGAACCGGUAGAGUAGUUGGUUGCAGUUAGAGGCCCUUACUCCCCCACCCGGCCUUGUGGUGGCCGCCUCCGCUGUUUGGGUUCAUGUAGACAUGAUGUGGUAACACCUGAGGAGCCAUAAGCCUGUCCUGGUGCUUCAUUCCGUGCGCACCGUGGUGCUUCAUCCCGUGCUCACCGUGGUGCUGCAUCCCGUGCUCACCGUGGUGCUGCAUCCCAUGCCCACCGAGGUAUGCAUCUUCAUGCCUCCCCUGCCAUCCAUUACCCAUAUUUCCCUGCCAAUCAUCGUUAAAAAAAUUACAAACGGUGAGAAACCAUACAA